GACGAACGCUGGCGGCGUGCCUAACACAUGCAAGUCGAGCGAACAGAUGAGAAGCUUGCUUCUCUGAUGUUAGCGGCGGACGGGUGAGUAACACGUGGGUAACCUACCUAUAAGACUGGGAUAACUCCGGGAAACCGGGGCUAAUACCGGAUAAUAUUUUGAACCGCAUGGUUCAAUAGUGAAAGACGGUUUCGGCUGUCACUUAUAGAUGGACCCGCGCCGGAUUAGCUAGUUGGUAAGGUAACGGCUUACCAAGGCGACGAUACGUAGCCGACCUGAGAGGGUGAGCGGCCACACUGGAACUGAGACACGGUCCAGACUCCUACGGGAGGCAGCAGUAGGGAAUCUUCCGCAAUGGGCGAAAGCCUGACGGAGCAACGCCGCGUGAGUGAUGAAGGUCUUCGGAUCGUAAAACUCUGUUGUUAGGGAAGAACAAAUUUGUUAGUAACUGAACAAGUCUUGACGGUACCUAACCAGAAAGCCACGGCUAACUACGUGCCAGCAGCCGCGGUAA
Molecule: ribosomal RNA, 514 nt
Filed under: uncultured bacterium
Lineage: Bacteria
Description: partial 16S ribosomal RNA
Rfam family: Bacterial small subunit ribosomal RNA
Source: RNAcentral